ACGGAGGGUGCGAGCGUUAAUCGGAAUUACUGGGCGUAAAGCGCAUGCAGGCGGCCUGUUAAGUCAGAUGUGAAAGCCCGGGGCUUAACCUCGGAAUUGCAUUUGAAACUGGCAGGCUAGAGUCUUGUAGAGGGGGUAGAAUUUCGGGUGUAGCGGUGAAAUGCGUAGAGAUCUGAAGGAAUACCAGUGGCGAAGGCGGCCCCCUGGACAAAGACUGACGCUCAGAUGCGAAAGCGUGGGGAGCAAACAGGAUUAGAUACCCUGGUAG
This 268-nucleotide ribosomal RNA is filed under the name uncultured bacterium. RNAcentral describes it as "partial 16S ribosomal RNA". It matches the Rfam family "Bacterial small subunit ribosomal RNA", at positions 525 to 793 of the family's 1533-position model. The record is from RNAcentral.